AUCAAUAUAGCCACCUCUACUUUCAAAGCAUAUUAUAUGUAUGUAUACACACAUAUAUACAUAUGUAUAUAUAAUGUUUACAUAAGAAGCAAAUUUUGCAAAUGUUAAAAAUUAUUACAUCUAUGUAAGAUCAUUUCUUGAGGAAAUGAGUUGAUCAGAUUUUGUUGCUGUCAUGGCUAUGGGGCAAGCCCUGUAGCUCGUAUUUUCUGUUAGUCAGUGGGCUCAGAAAGCUGAUACAUGUUCUGCUAGUCUGCUAGAAACUGAUACAGUGCUGCUAUGUAACUCCUUGGCUGCCUGCCACUAUUGUCUGUAAAAUAUAUAUAGGAAACUGAGGGCAGAGAUGGGUGAGGACCUCUUUGCUGUAGCUUGUCAGCUGCCAGAAGCUAGCAGAUUUGUUUCCUGUGUACUUUCACUUGCCACUGUGGGGAUACAGAGGCCCACAGCAAAAUGAAAGGCAGAAGACUGAUGAGUCCAAAUUUUCACCUCAAGCAAAGUCUCCAUUCCACUUCCUCCAUCUGACUUUGUUGAAAAGAGGUGAGAGAGUAAUAACUUUUAUUUGUGAUAGGCUAUUGAGAUCAAGAAGAAUAUAUCAAUUGGUGCUGUGGGCAAGUAUGCCUCAAAGAAAUGUUAUAUCAACAGGAGGUAAACAGCAUGUUUUAGAUAAUUGAAAUAUGCAAGACGCUAAGGAGCAAUUCAGAGGCACACAAAAUAUUGGCAUAUGCACACACAUACACAUUGAGUUUAGUCCUGGCUAUUGUUUGUAGAGAGGGAUUAAUCAUGACUGGUAUAAAUAAACUUUGGUCUGGAAGGAUGUUCCA
This 818-nucleotide long non-coding RNA is filed under the name Oryctolagus cuniculus (rabbit). Its description in RNAcentral is "lncRNA (ENSOCUG00000031146.1)". Lineage: Eukaryota; Metazoa; Chordata; Mammalia; Lagomorpha; Leporidae. The record is from RNAcentral.